This 425-nucleotide ribosomal RNA is filed under the name uncultured bacterium. RNAcentral's name for it is "partial 16S ribosomal RNA". It matches the Rfam family "Bacterial small subunit ribosomal RNA", at positions 354 to 796 of the family's 1533-position model. The record is from RNAcentral.
GUGGGGAAUAUUGGACAAUGGGCGCAAGCCUGAUCCAGCCAUGCCGCGUGAGUGAUGAAGGCCUUAGGGUUGUAAAGCUCUUUUGUCCGGGAAGAUAAUGACUGUACCGGAAGAAUAAGCCCCGGCUAACUUCGUGCCAGCAGCCGCGGUAAUACGAAGGGGGCUAGCGUUGUUCGGAAUCACUGGGCGUAAAGCGCACGUAGGCGGACCAUUAAGUCAGGGGUGAAAGCCUGGAGCUCAACUCCAGAACUGCCUUUGAUACUGAUGGUCUCGAGUAUGGAAGAGGUUGGUGGAACUGCGAGUGUAGAGGUGAAAUUCGUAGAUAUUCGCAAGAACACCGGUGGCGAAGGCGGCCAACUGGUCCAUUACUGACGCUGAGGCACGAAAGCGUGGGGAGCAAACAGGAUUAGAUACCCGAGUAGUCC